UGUCUCUACUCCAGCCUUUGUCUCUCUCUGUCUCUCCUCAAGCCUUUGUCUCUCUGUCUCUCCUCGAGCCUUUGUCUCUCCCCUGUCUCUGCUGGAGUCUUUGCCUCUCCCUGUCUCUGCUCCAGCCUUUGUCUCUCUCUGCCUCUCCCAUCUCUGCUCCUCCUUUGGUCUCUCCCUCUGCCCUCUGUCCCUGCCCUACCCCUUUAGCCACCCGGCCUCCUCCCAAGAUGGGGGGAGAUCCCUGUCACCUCUUUGUCUCCAUGGCACUUGCUGGCAGCGCCAGGCCCCUGGGACCCGGGGAUGCGGGGAGACUGGCUCCCACGGGUGUCCCCCCUUUUGGUUCCCUAGAAGGGCCGCCCGCCCGCUUCUGGAGCCGGGGCCCCUCUGGAAGGCUCCGACAGCCUGCCGGGCCUUCUCUGGGGCACGACUUUCCCUUGCUCUGACGCAGCCAGCCUGGCCCAGGCCUG
Molecule: long non-coding RNA, 467 nt
Filed under: Monodelphis domestica (gray short-tailed opossum)
Lineage: Eukaryota; Metazoa; Chordata; Mammalia; Didelphimorphia; Didelphidae
Description: lncRNA (ENSMODG00000039415.1)
Source: RNAcentral